This 768-nucleotide ribosomal RNA is filed under the name uncultured archaeon. Its description in RNAcentral is "bacterial SSU rRNA". It matches the Rfam family "Archaeal small subunit ribosomal RNA", at positions 33 to 837 of the family's 1478-position model. The record is from RNAcentral.
UCGGAUGUCUAAGCCAUGCGAGUCAUUGUAGCAUACAAGGCAUACGGCUCAGUAACGCGUAGUCAACCUAACCUAUGGACGGGAAUAACCUCGGGAAACUGAGAGUAAUGCCCGAUAGAACACUAUACCUGGAAUGGUUUGUGUUCCAAAUGAUUUAUCGCCAUAGGAUGGGACUGCGGCCUAUCAGUUUGUUGGUGAGGUAAUGGCCCACCAAGACUAUUACAGGUACGGGCUCUGAGAGGAGUAGCCCGGAGAUGGGUACUGAGACACGGACCCAGGCCCUAUGGGGCGCAGCAGGCGAGAAAACUUUGCAAUGUGCGAAAGCACGACAAGGUUAAUCCGAGUGAUUUGUGCUAAACGAAUCUUUUGUUAGUCCUAGAAACACUAACGAAUAAGGGGUGGGCAAGUUCUGGUGUCAGCCGCCGCGGUAAAACCAGCACCUCAAGUGGUCAGGAUGAUUAUUGGGCCUAAAGCAUCCGUAGCCGGCUCUGUAAGUUUUCGGUUAAAUCUGUACGCUUAACGUACAGGCUGCCGGGAAUACUGCAGAGCUAGGGAGUGGGAGAGGUAGACGGUACUCGGUAGGAAGUGGUAAAAUGCUUUGAUCUAUCGAUGACCACCUGUGGCGAAAGCGGUCUACCAGACACGUCCGACGGUGAGGGAUGAAGCUGGGGGAGCAAACCGGGAUUAGAUACCCGGUAGUCCCAGCUGUAAAACUAUGCAACUUCAGUUGAAUGCAAUGUCUUGUGGCCAUGCAGUGCCUGCCAAGCA